GGCUACACACGUGCUACAAUGGGUAGAACAGAGAGUUGCAAGGCCGUGAGGUGGAGCUAAUCUCAGAAAACUAUUCUUAGUUCGGAUUGUACUCUGCAACUCGAGUACAUGAAGUUGGAAUCGCUAGUAAUCGCGAAUCAGCAAUGUCGCGGUGAAUACGUUCUCGGGUCUUGUACACACCGCCCGUCACACCACGAGAGUUGGUUGCACCUGAAGUAGCAGGCCUAACCGUAAGGAGGGAUGCUCCGAGGGUGUGAUUAGCGAUUGGGGUGAAGUCGUAACAAGGUAUCCGUACGGGAACGU
Molecule: ribosomal RNA, 303 nt
Filed under: uncultured Fusobacterium sp.
Lineage: Bacteria; Fusobacteriati; Fusobacteriota; Fusobacteriia; Fusobacteriales; Fusobacteriaceae
Description: bacterial SSU rRNA
Rfam family: Bacterial small subunit ribosomal RNA
Source: RNAcentral